RNAcentral lists this long non-coding RNA (549 nucleotides) under Homo sapiens (human). RNAcentral's name for it is "non-protein coding lnc-TMEM189-UBE2V1-4:13". Lineage: Eukaryota; Metazoa; Chordata; Mammalia; Primates; Hominidae. The record is from RNAcentral.
GCAAGAUGGCAGCCACCACGGGCUCGGGAGUAAAAGUCCCUCGCAAUUUCCGACUGUUGGAAGAACUCGAAGAAGGCCAGAAAGGAGUAGGAGAUGGCACAGUUAGCUGGGGUCUAGAAGAUGACGAAGACAUGACACUUACAAGAUGGACAGGGAUGAUAAUUGGGCCUCCAAGAGUAAGCGUCGAGCUACGGCUAUAAAUGUCAAUGUCUUAAAUUCACUGUGCCUCCUUUUAAAAAAUAUUAGCCUUAUCACGGAAAAAAAGCUCACCAAUGGUAUAUUUUCUGAAAUGUGGCUAUUCUUUUUUGACCAGUUUCAGUUUAUAUAUUUGAACCUCCUCUGAUGCUGUUUAACCCCUCUAAAUGACAAUUUAUGAAAACCGAAUAUACAGCCUUAAAAUAGAAUGUGGACCUAAAUACCCAGAAGCACCCCCCUUUGUAAGAUUUGUAACAAAAAUUAAUAUGAAUGGAGUAAAUAGUUCUAAUGGAGUGGUGGACCCAAGAGCCAUAUCAGUGCUAGCAAAAUGGCAGAAUUCAUAUAGCAUCAAAG